GGUCAAGCUACAAAGGGCGCAUGGUGAAUGCCUUGGCAUCAGGAGCCGAUGAAGGACGUGAUAAGCUGCGAUAAGCUUCGGGUAGGCGCACAUAGCCAGAGAUCCGAAGAUUUCCGAAUGAGGAAACUCACAUGGGAAACCCCAUGUAUCCAUAAGUGAAUACAUAGCUUAUGGAAGGUAAACCCAGGGAACUGAAACAUCUAAGUACCUGGAGGAAGAGAAAGAAAAAUCGAUUUUCUUAGUAGCGGCGAGCGAAAGGGAAAGAGCCCAAACCGGAAAUUUAUUUCCGGGGUUGCGGACAGAACAUUAACGAGAAGUUAUGGAUAAUUGAAGAUGACUGGAAAGUCAAGCCAUAGAGUGUAAUAGCCACGUAAGUGAAAUUCAUAAUAAUCAAGUUCUGAUCCAGAGUACCACGAGACACGUGAAACCUUGUGGGAAGCAGGGAGGACCACCUCCCAAGGCUAAAUACUACCUGAUGACCGAUAGUGAAGCAGUACCCCGGGAGGGGAGUGAAAUAGAACCUGAAACCGUGUGCCUACAACCGGUCAAAGCCCCUUAUGAGGGUGAUGACGUGCUUUUUGUAGAACGAGCCAACGAGUUACGGUAUGUAGCAAGGUUAAGUACUUAAGGUACGGAGCCGAAGGGAAACCGAGUCUUAAUAGGGCGACUAGUUGCAUGCCGUAGACCCGAAACCGGGUGACCUAUCCAUGGCCAGGUUGAAGCGGGGGUAAAACCCCGUGGAGGACCGAACCACGUUGCUGUUGAAAAAGCAUGGGAUGAGCUGUGGAUAGCGGAGAAAUUCCAAUCGAACUCGGAGAUAGCUGGUUCUCCUCGAAAUAGCUUUAGGGCUAGCGUCGGAUAUGAGUAGUGGAGGUAGAGCACUGAAUGGGCUAGGGGGCAUAGCGCUUACCGAACCUUAUCAAACUCCGAAUGCCACAUACUAUUAGUCCGGCAGUCAGACUGCGAAAGAUAAGUUCCGUAGUCAAAAGGGAAACAGCCCAGAUCGUCAGCUAAGGUCCCAAAGUGUAAGUUAAGUGGAAAAGGAUGUGGGAUUUCUAAGACAACUAGGAUGUUGGCUUAGAAGCAGCCACUCAUUAAAAGAGUGCGUAAUAGCUCACUAGUCGAGAGAUCCUGCGCCGAAGAUGUCCGGGGCUCAAACUUACCACCGAAGCUACGGGUUCACACUUAUGUGUGAGCGGUAGAGGAGCGUCGUAAUCGGGCUGAAGUCGUACCGUAAGGAGCGGUGGACUGAUUACGAGUGAGAAUGUUGGCAUUAGUAGCGAGAUGUGGGUGAGAAUCCCACAGGCCGAAUAUCUAAGGUUUCCUCAGGAAGGUUCGUCCGCUGAGGGUUAGUCGGGACCUAAGCCGAGGCCGAAAGGCGUAGGCGAUGGACAAUCGGUUGAUAUUCCGAUACCACUACUGAUCGUUAUUAUCGAUGGUGUGACGGAGAAGGAUAGAGUGUGCUAGCUAUUGGAUGCUAGUCUAAGCGUUUAGGGAGUUAGGAAAGGCAAAUCCGUCCUAACAAUUCUGAGGCGUGAUGGGGAAGGUUCUACGGAACCGAAGUACUUGAUUCCAUGCUUCCAAGAAAAGCAUCUAGAGAGAGAUGUAGUGCCCGUACCGCAAACCGACACAGGUAGAUGAGGAGAGAAUCCUAAGGCCGGCGGAAGAAUCACAGUUAAGGAACUAGGCAAAUUGACCCCGUAACUUAGGGAGAAGGGGUGCCUGUGAGAGCAGGCCGCAGAGAAUAGGCCCAAGCAACUGUUUAGCAAAAACACAGGUCUCUGCUAAAGCGAAAGCUGAUGUAUAGGGGCUGACGCCUGCCCGGUGCUGGAAGGUUAAGGGGAACACUUAGCGCAAGCGAAGGUGUGAACUUAAGCCCCAGUAAACGGCGG
Molecule: ribosomal RNA, 1892 nt
Filed under: Klebsiella michiganensis
Lineage: Bacteria; Pseudomonadati; Pseudomonadota; Gammaproteobacteria; Enterobacterales; Enterobacteriaceae
Description: partial 23S ribosomal RNA
Rfam family: Bacterial large subunit ribosomal RNA
Source: RNAcentral